GUAAAAGUAGGACUGUCCUGCAUUAAUUUACUGCCAGGUUUUUUUUGUUUGUUAGUUUUUCAGAACUCUACAGACUUGUCCAUGAAUGGUCAAGAAGACAGCUUGUGUCCUCAAUAGCACACAGAAGCCUAAGGAGCUAGGAUUCCUUGAGAAUUGCAUUUUGGCUCCUCAGUCCCACUGGCAAGGCAGCAGUGCCCUGUUCUGGCAGCGGUGCCCAGCAUGGGGGCUCACCCUGUCCAUUCCUAGGUGUGCAGCUAAGGCCAUCUCAGCAGCCCUCUCCUCUGAUGUCCAGGGCAACCGCAGCUCCUAGCUGGCUACAGACCUGCCUCUA
This 331-nucleotide long non-coding RNA is filed under the name Struthio camelus australis. RNAcentral's name for it is "lncRNA (ENSSCUG00000014098.1)". The record is from RNAcentral. Lineage: Eukaryota; Metazoa; Chordata; Aves; Struthioniformes; Struthionidae.